AGCAGCCGCGGUAAUUCCAGCUCCAAUAGCGUAUAUUAAAGUUGUUGCAGUUAAAAAGCUCGUAGUUGAAUUUCGGGAUUUGUCAGUUGGUCGGGCUUCACUGUCCGUAUUGACUUGAUGGAUUCUUACCUUCUGAAUAACCAGCAUGCUAUUAAGUUAGUGCGUUGGGGAAGCAGAUCUAUUACCUUGAAAAAAUUAGAGUGCUUAAAGCGAGCUAGUGCUAGAAUAGAUUAGCAUGGAAUAAUAAAAUAGGACGGCAUGGUUCUAUUUUGUUGGUUUCUAGGAUCACCGUAAUGAUUAAUAGGGAUAGUUGGGGGCAUUAGUAUUCAAUUGUCAGAGGUGAAAUUCUUGGAUUUAUUGAAGACUAACUUCUGCGAAAGCAUUUGCCAAGGAUGUUUUCAUUAAUCAAGAACGAAAGUUAGGGGAUCGAAGACGAUCAGAUACCGUCGUAGUCUUAACCAUAAACUAUGCCGACUAGGGAUCGGACGAUGUUAAUUUUAUAAUGACUCGUUCGGCACCU
This 520-nucleotide ribosomal RNA is filed under the name uncultured Acaulospora. RNAcentral's name for it is "SSU rRNA". It matches the Rfam family "Eukaryotic small subunit ribosomal RNA", at positions 569 to 1088 of the family's 1831-position model. The record is from RNAcentral. Lineage: Eukaryota; Fungi; Glomeromycota; Glomeromycetes; Diversisporales; Acaulosporaceae.